This 30-nucleotide non-coding RNA is filed under the name Rattus norvegicus (Norway rat). The record is from RNAcentral. Lineage: Eukaryota; Metazoa; Chordata; Mammalia; Rodentia; Muridae.
UUGGAUCUUAGAUCGAUGCAGCCAUUGUAU